Molecule: ribosomal RNA, 497 nt
Filed under: uncultured bacterium
Lineage: Bacteria
Description: partial 16S ribosomal RNA
Rfam family: Bacterial small subunit ribosomal RNA
Source: RNAcentral
GAUGAACGCUGGCGGCGUGCCUAAUACAUGCAAGUCGAGCGAACAGACGAGGAGCUUGCUCCUCUGACGUUAGCGGCGGACGGGUGAGUAACACGUGGAUAACCUACCUAUAAGACUGGGAUAACUUCGGGAAACCGGAGCUAAUACCGGAUAAUAUAUUGAACCGCAUGGUUCAAUAGUGAAAGACGGUUUUGCUGUCACUUAUAGAUGGAUCCGCGCCGCAUUAGCUAGUUGGUAAGGUAACGGCUUACCAAGGCAACGAUGCGUAGCCGACCUGAGAGGGUGAGCGGCCACACUGGAACUGAGACACGGUCCAGACUCCUACGGGAGGCAGCAGUAGGGAAUCUUCCGCAAUGGGCGAAAGCCUGACGGAGCAACGCCGCGUGAGUGAUGAAGGUCUUCGGAUCGUAAAACUCUGUUAUUAGGGAAGAACAAAUGUGUAAGUAACUAUGCACGUCUUGACGGUACCUAAUCGGAAAGCCACGGCUAACUACGUG